UUUGGUGCUAAAUUCGUAAAUACAGUAAUUACUACAUAGCAUUACUGCAUAUUGAACUACUUUUUUCUGUCAAAUUUGUUGUAUAACAUGAUGUUUUGGUGCUUAAUUUGUAAAAUCAUAACCUAAUUUGAUGUUUAAUAGGCUUUUCCUUAAUCCCUCCUUAUUAUCCAAAUUAUUCGCUUAUCCAACAUUCUGACAGCCCGUUUAUGUUGGAUAAGUGAGACUCUACUGUACCUGCAUUUACUCAGAUAGGAUGAACUUUCCUUAUUCCAAAAUACACCAAAAUCCAAAAAUGUCCACGUAAGUGGAUGAGAUAGUGAUGCUUUUACUUUUUGAUGGUUCAGUGAACCCAAACUUUUUUUCAUACACAAAAUGGUAAAAAAAAAUUGUGUGCAAAAUUACUUACAGGAUAUGUAGUUAAAGUAUAUAGGAAACAGAAAUGAUUUUGUUUUCGUUUAAUCUUGGGUCCCAUCUCUAAGAUUUCAUUAUGCAAAUGCAGGUAUUCCAAUAAAUCAUCCAGAUGCAGCAGAAAGCAGAGGCUUUACUAUCUCGAACAAUUUUGGAGUAUUUUGGGUUUCAGAAUUUCAAGAUAUUCCAUCUGUAUUAUUUUUCUACUUAUUUUUAUUUAUUCUAAGGUUUAUUAUUGAAUGGGCUUGGGAUUUUUUUGGUCUUGCGAGCCUCCUUGGGAGUAUUUUGUAUCUGAAAACGGUAUCCCAAAGAUAGUUAAAUUAAAAUAUAUAAACAGUGGCCAAGGCAUUCUUUUUUAGAUACCCAAGGGCUGUGGCAUUAGAGCUUGUAGCCUAAUGAACGCCCAAGUGCAUUGCUCUAUGUUGUCAUUCAAAUUCAAGAGGUCCCCUCCCCACUGCGUCCAAGAGGAGAGGUUCUGUGUUUUGCCCUUUCAUAGCAGGCUGCCAACUAAAUGUGGAAUUGGUUUCAUUACCUGGUCUGAUUACUGGAGAGGGUGACUCAGGCUGAGGAGAUAUUCUCUGCUUGCUUCCUGUAAUUUUCCUUCCAUGCAGAUAGCUAGGUUGUUAAAUGGCUAUUUUUAGUAGGCACUGGAGUACGGUGACCCUUUGUGGCUCCUUCUUGAAUAAAGGAAGAGUACGGCUGGUGGGGGCACAGUGGGUCUCACCGCAGAGGAGAAAGGACUAUAAUCGCUUUUAGAUGAAGAAAGUGCUUGCAAAUUAUUUGUCUCCUGCAGGCAGAUGAGAUUUAAUAGAGGGGGAGAAAGGAGUCUGAAAUCGACAAACACGCAAAGCAUGCAUAGAAUUAGUUUGCAUUACUUAAAAUAAGGUGUCGCAUUGGGGAGUAUGUUUACAGUUUUCCCCCUAAAUGUAUAAAUAUGACAAUUAACUCAAUAGUGAUAUCUCUGCGUAUGUUCUGGUAAAAUCAAGAUGAUACAUCAUGCUGCAUUUGAAAGACUUCACACACCAGCACAUGCACACAUUUCUUUUAAUUUAACACUUUCUUUCCUGUUCUAAAUAAAAGACUGGUGAGGGUAUGUUAUAUUCAAUAUCACCAAUGUUUUGAAUGCUGAAGAGAAAACUGAGUGGGUUCAUUGUGCGCUUCCUAUUCAUUGCUCUUUUUCUGUUGGGUGAUACUUUGAGGGAAAAAGCACUCCCUUUCUUGGGUGAUGCCAUUAGAUAAUCUGAACAAUAAACGAAAGCCUGUGUUAUACAAUAAUAAAUCUCAAGGCUUGCUGAUGCGGUUGCCAUGCCUGGCAUGUAGAAUUUUUUAAAAAAGAUUCCCCUUGCCACUUGUUCUUUUCUCCAACUGGAAAGCAAUACUCCUGGAUGUUUACAGGCCUGGCAGUUUAUAUUAAAAUAGGUCUCUUUCUGUCUUCUCCCCCUGCCUGCAAAGGUCCCAGAAUAUUUCUUAAACAUCCAGUAGGGACUUUCAGAUUUAUGUUUCUUUGAAAAUGGUAUUGAUAAAUCAAGGGUCAUUCCACAGAGAGAGGAAAACACUGGCAUUGCUUCAAGGGGGACCUGCAUCUGCCCACUGCCAUCACUUUCAUAAGGACAGAAAUGAUGCCAUACAGGUUACUUUCAGGAUUGCCUUCUCCAGUACAAUCUGCCCCACACACUUAAGAUUGUCUGGGGAGGGGGCAGGUACUCCAGCCUGCCAGAACCCAAGUGCCGACUGUCACCCAGAGGACCUUUCAUUUGCUGCCCCAAGACCGUGGAAUGACCUGCUGGAAGAAGUUCAACAGCUAGAUUAGCUGUCAGAAUUGAAGACACAGUAGAAGAGCCAUCUCUUCUGACAAGCCUAUUCAGUGAGUUUUAACUUGUUAAUUUUAAUUUUAACUGUGGAUUUUAACUUGCAUUUUAACUUUGUGUAUCAUGUUAUAUGUCUUUUAAUAGUGUUUUAACUCUUGUUUUAAUGAUGUUAUAUUCCACCUUGAACCUAUGGAGCCUCUGGUGGCCUAGGGGAUAAAAGCCUUGUGACUUGAAGGUUGGGUUGCUGACCUGAAGGCUGCCAGGUUUGAAUCCCACCUGGGGAGAGUGCAGAUGAGCUCCCUCUAUCAGCUCCAGCUCCAUGCGGGGACAUGAGAGAAGCCUCCCACAAGGAUGGUAAAAACAUCAAAACAUCCAGGCGUCCCCUGGGCAACGUCCUUGCAGACGGCCAAUUUUCUCACACCAGAAGCAACUCAGGUUGCUCCUGACACACACAAAAAAAACUUGAGCCACAGGGAGAGGUGGAUAAUAAAUUUGUUGUUGUUGUUGUUGUUGUUGUUGUUGUUGUUGUUGUUAUUGUUGUUUUAUUGUAGAAAGAGUAAAGGAUGUCAGUGCUUCUUUUAGAUCCUCCCAGGAAGGACUAAGCUCUUCCUUUUGUCACUUUUUUGUAUAAGUGUUAAGGUGCACUACUUAUAUUGACCCAUUAAGUCAACUCAGGUUUUGGGGGUCAAUUUCAUGUCUAAUAUUUCUAGACUUAUAUAUGGAUAUAUAUAGUAAACUGCAGACAAAGGGGGAAGGUGAGAGGAGGAGAGAGAAACUGGAACAUUGUAAAGUAGGACAGACUACUUAUUGGGAUGCUUCCUAUUAAAAUGAGACAGUUGGAGGGUAUGUCAGGGACUUCCUUCUCAGAAAAUGGGCAAAAAGAUGCAACAUUAAAUUCCCUUUCUUUUUGUUAUUGUUGUGAGUUGUGGCAUCCUGAGGGCUCCAUCACUGAGUUUUCUUGGCUAGAUUUGUUCAGAUGGUUAUUAUUAUUAUUAUUAUUAUUAUUAUUAUUAUUAUUAUUAAUUCCCCACCUUUCUCCCUGUGAGAACUCAAAGCGCCUAAUACUCCACACUAGGCAAAUUUAAAAAGUGCAAUACAAAAGUUAAAAAGCAAUUAAAAAGCAAUUAAAUAGUAGCAGUGUGGUAAAAACAAAAUACAGUAGAUAUACUAAAAUGGCAUUUAAAAAUCAUAUUCCCACCAAUCCCACCCCUGAACUAAAAACCACAGCACAAUGAUCUUACAAACCUCCAUCUUUAAAAGUCUGCCUAAAUGAAAAGGUUUUUGCCUACCGCUGGAAGGACAGCAGGGAGGGGGCCAUUCUGGUAUCCCUGGGAAGGGAGUUCCAGGGUUGAGGGGCAGCCACCGAGAAGGCCUUCCCUCUCGUUCCCACCAACUAAGUUUGAGAUGGAGAUGGGACCGAGAGAAGGGCCUCUCCUGAAGAUCUCAGGGUUUGGGAAGGUUCGUAUUACCAUCCAUCCAUCCUCUUUUUAAAGACCUCCAAAGUCCAGCAUUCCUUGAGAAACUAUCAAACAGCCACUACAAUAAAGAAGUUCUUCCUAAUGUUCAGUUAGAAUAUCUUUUUUUGCAAUUUGAAUCCACUGAUUUGUGUUUGUGUCUGUAGUAGUAAAAAGGAAGCUAGUCCCAUCUUCUACAUCAGUGUGAUCCAACCCGUGGCCCGCGGGUUGUAUAUGGUCCACCAAUUCAUUUUUGUUGGCCCUUGCCCUUCUUACUGGAAAAAUAUUUUAAUUUAACAUUUGGAAAAAAAUCAUUUACCCUUCUUACUGCUUUAAGUUUUUAAGAAACAUUUUCUUUCUGGAAUAUCUCUGGCCCUCACUAAAGUUUGAUUGGCACUCGGGUAACUAAAGGUUGGACCACACUGUUGUACAUUACAUCCCUUCAGCUUUUUAAAUACUGCAUAGGCAUCAUGAUACCUCUCAGUUUCUUCUCCAAGCCAGGUAUAACCAGCUCUCCAAGUCAUUUCUUAUAAUUAUUGAUUUCCAGAUCUUUAUCUUAGUCACCCAUCCCAGCUUGUCAAUAUCCUUCUUGAAUUGUGGUGCUCAGAACUGGACACAAUAUUCCAGGUGAUUAUAUUCCAAAGCAGAAUAGAGUGAUAUUACUAUUUUCCAUAGGACACUAUGCUGCUGGUGAUGCAGCCUUGCAAACUGUAGCACAUUUCUGCUCCACCAGCUGUAGCUUGGAGCCGAGCCCACCAAAACUGUAAAAUGUUUACCUUCAUCUGCUACCUGGAGAGGACAAGUGAAAACUGAAGACUUAGGGCCAGGCAAUGAGAUUUGACAACCCUACAAUACAUUUCACUGGUGAGGCCAAUAUCUGUCUUAUCUUGCCUGCCAUUUUUCUUGUUCUGCAAGUUAAUAUUAAUCCAAGUACACUGAGUGCCAAAAGAAGCACUCCAGUUCAGGUGACUGUUUAUUGCUGGAAUCGCUUGAGCUGCUGCACAGAUCGUUUGGAUAAAUGAAGUAAUUUAUACUGAAAAUCUUCCCUCCCAUUAAGCCAAUGAAAUGCAGCAGAACAGCUUACUGCCGUUCCCCCUCUUGAGCCUGCUUAAGGGGGUGGCCUCUCUAAAGGUAACUGAAGUCGCUGGGUGACUGCCUGAAACUUUUGACAGAGGUCUUUGCAAAACCAUUUUAGCAGCUUAUGGGUGGCUUAAGAGCUUAAUUCAUCACUGUAGGCUGUCUCAGCACUUUGUGAGGAGGGGGCCAAUUUUUCUUUUGCUGACCAUUGUUGCUUUUCUCCCCACUUACAGUGAGCAAUAUGUAGUUGUUGCAGCCAGAGUCAGCUUUUAUAUUAAGUGAAGGAAAACAGCCAAAUUCCCAGGUGUCUCAAAUGCGAUGGGGAGGCUUUGAAAAAAGUACCACCAGGCAGACUAGUUUAAGAGAAAUGAAGGACUGGGAGGGAGGGAGUGAAUGUUAACAUUUUUCACGGUCAUUUUAUCAUUAUAGCAUUAUGCCAUCAUUGUACAUGGACAAAGCAACAAGCAAAUUACAUUUGUAUAGAUAUGCAAAACUUUGGGUAACAGGAAACUAUUGAAAUGAAAAUGUCUGGCCUAGGAAUACCAUUGGGUCAUGCAUCAAGUCACCUAGACAAUGUCUAGAGAUGACAUAUUUUGAAAGAUGUAGGUAAAUGAAACUGUAGAUACAGAUCUCACAGGUAUAGGGGCUAUAUAGCAGAAAGGUAAAAGUGACAGCAAAUAAAUUGUGCCAAUGCUGUUAAGGUAAAGGUUUUCCCCUGACGUUAAGUCCAGUCAUGUCUGACUCUGGGGGUUGGUGCUCAUCUCCAUUUCUAAGCCAAAGAGCCGGCGUUGUCCGUAGACACCUCCAAGGUCAUGUGGCCAGCAUGACUGCAUGGAGCGCCAUUGCCUUCCUGUUGGAGCAGUACCUAUUGAUCUACUCACAUUGGCAUGUUUUCAAACUGCUAGGUUGGCAGAAGCUGGAGCUAACAGCAGCCGCUCACACUGUUCCCGGGGUAUGAACCUGGGACCUUUCGGUCUGCAAGUUCAGCAGCUCAGUGCUUUAACACACUUCGCCACCGGGGCCCCAUAAAGAGGCAUUAACUACCCCCAAAAUUACUAUGGAAUGCUCACUUCUUGGUGGUAUGACCAGAAGCAGUCUUGGCACUGUUGACAUUGUCCCUGAUAUGUUUAGAAAAAGCAUGCAUGUACAUUCCUACUGAGUGUGAAUUGGUGGGCAGAGGAGAGGAGAUAGGUCACACUGGUCUCCUACUGCCAAACCCACAAUCAUGACAGAGAUAUUGUGGAUUAGUAUUAAUGUAUCUCUCACACAUAGUUAAAAGUAGAGUUAAAAUUGCUGGAAGAAACACUAACAACCUUAGAUACGCAGAUGAUACCAUUUUGAUGGCUGAAAGUGAGGAGGAGCUGAGGAGUCUUAUCACCAAGGUGAAAGAAGAAAGUGCAAAAUCUGGGGUGCAGUUAAACAUUAUAAAAAACCCAAGAUUAUGGCAACCAGACUGAUUGAUAACUAGCAAAUAGAGGGAGAAAACGUGGAGGCAGUGACAGACUUGGUAUUUCUAGGCGCAAGAUUACUGCAGACACAGACUGCAGCCAGGAAGUCAGAAGACGUUUUCUUCUUGGGAGGAGAGCAAUGACCAAUCUUGAUAAAAUAGUGAAGAGUAGAGACAUCACACUGGCAACAAAGGUCCGCAUAGUUAAAGCAAUGGUAUUCCCCGUAAUAACCUAUGGAUGUGAGAGCUGGACUAUAAGGAAGGCUGUGCGAAGGAAGAUAGAUACUUUUGAACUUUGGUGCUGGAGGAAAAUCCUGAGAGUGCCUUGGACCGCAAGAAGAUCCAACCAGUCCAUCAUUCAGGAAAUAAUGCCCGGCUGCUUACUGGAGGGAAGGAUAUUAGAGGCUAAGAUGAAGUAUUUUGGCCAUAUAAUGAGAAGAUAGGAAAGCUUGGAGAAGAUAAUAAUGCUGGGGAAAAUGGAAGGAAAAAAGAAGAAGGGCCGACCAAGGGCAAGAUGGAUGGAUGGUAUCCUUGAAGUGACUGGCUUGACCUUGAAGGAACUGGGGGUGGUAGCGGCUGACAGGGAGUUCUGGUGUGGACUGGUCCAUGUGGUCACAAAGAGUCAGAAGCGAUUGAACGAAUAAACAACAAAACUCACACACAAAAACACACACACUUUGGGGGUUAAAGUCUAGAACCCUAGUAUAGCCCUCCUUGGAUGCAUCUACACUGCAGAAUGAAUGCAGUUUGACACCACUUUUAAUUACCAUGGCUCAGUACUGUGCAAUCCUGGGAGUUGUAGUUUGGUGAGGAACCAGCAUUCUUUGGCAGAAAAGGCUGAAGGCCUUGUAAACUACUGCCCCCAUGAAUCCAUAGCACUGAACCACAGCAGUGAAAGUGGUGUCAGAUUGCAUUAAUUCCAGUGCAGAUUCACCUAAGGACUUUGGAAUCACCCAAAGCAUGUAUGCUGUUUGAUAACACUGAGAAUACAAUUAUUCAGUGUAUGGAAUCCUAGGAUUUAUAGUUUGUAGAACUGCAACUCCCAGGAUUACAUAGCAUUGUGCCAGGGCAAUUAAAGUGGUGUCAAGCUGCAUUCAUUCUAUAGCACAGAUUCACCCAAGAAAACUGAGGCAGGAUAAAUGGAAGAGGCUCCUUGUGGGAAGGGUUACCUAUUUCUCUGGUUUUCCUUUCAGUAGCUGGAAGGUUGAGUGUCCCAACACUUUGGCUUUUAAAGAAGCAGUUCUAAGAAGGUAGCAACUGUAAUGCACAUCUUUUCUGACCAAAUUUCAAGGAGUGCACUUUUGCAGCUGCUCAUUACAUUGGCCAGCAAAUACGUUUUUUGGUUUCGGGGUUUUGAAAAUUGAGGUGUGUAUUACAUUCGAUGGCACACUAGAUUCAAAUAAAUAUGGUAUUUAUGUGAUUGUGCAGUUUUUAGGAAUGAAUCUCAAAGACUGAUUAUUAUAAAUAAUUUUUGUGACUGUUAAUUAUUGUUGUUAUUUUUUAAAAGUCCUACAAAAAUAGAUUGCACAAAUAACAUCCCUGAGUCAUGGAGAAUGUGUUGGGGAGAAUAUUCUUUUCACUCCCUUGUUAAUGCAAAGGAGGUGUUCAAGAAGAGUGAAAGGCAGGCAAGUGACUGUCAUAUUGCUCCUGCAGUUCUGUCAAAUCAAAGCAAAGUGUGAUCAGUGCAAUUUUCCAUCACCUGGAUCAGUCUUCAUACUGUGUUGACAGAGAGCUCACUGCUUAUGUAAUGCAUGUAGGUUUGCUGCCUCAGCAGCAUCUUACACCCUGAAAUUUCAAGGCCUAAACCAAAGUUAGAGGGUAAGCUUCUUGUAAUGCGAUAGAUGGUGGGGCAUUUGGACUGGGGAGACAAGGACUAGGAAAUCACAGUGUUUGGACAGGAAAGGGUUGAGAAGGAGGCUGGCAUUGUGAGAGAGAAUGGUUCCAGAAUCUGGGUCAAGCCUGGCUACCCAGGUGAUAUGGCAACUCUGAACUGGUGGACAGGAAGUAUUUCUGGCAGCCAGGAACUCUGUGAAAUAUUUGCAGUGCUUGAUACCUUUGACAUUAAGCAUUGGGUCUCUCAUAUCCUUUACUUACAACCUCAUCAGACAGGAUGAUUUACCCGUUGUACACCACUUCUUCUCCUCUUUCCCCAUGAAGCCCUUCCAACAACACACAUCAGCUUCUGGCCAGGCUCCAUAGUGAAAGAGGAGAGCAAAUGGCUCAUGUCACCACCACAAAAAUACGGGAGGCUUCCCAUGUUGCCUUAGGAACAAUGAAGGGAAGCUGGGAGGCGAUGCUUCCCCCCAUGGGAUGGGGGUCCAGGUAACUUUGAAUAUGUUUUAAUGGUUUUUCACUGUGGAAUUUUUAAUACUGUUUAUAUUUAAUUCUGUUUUAAUGUUUGCAUAUUUGUGUAUUUUAAAUUCUAUACAAAUGCUUUUAUGUUAAGCUGCUUUGAGUCUCCACUAGGAAAGAUGAAGCGGGGUAUAAAUAAAUAUGAUGAUGAUGAUGAUGAUGAUGAUGAUGAUGAUGAUGAUGAUGAUUAUUAUUAUUAUUAUAACCAGCUGAUGACCCAAAAUGCAUACUGUGCAACGAAACCGACGAAACCAUUGAUCAUAUCCUCAGCUGCUGUAAGAAAAUCGCACAGACAGACUACAAACAGAGGCACAACUAUGUGGCCCAAAUGAUUCAUUGGAACUUAUGCCUCAAGUACCACCUCCCUGCAGUAAAGAACUGGUGGGAUCACAAACCUGCAAAAGUAUUGGAAAAUGAGCACUCAAAGAUACUGUGGGACUUCCGAAUCCAGACGGACAAAGUUCUGGAACACAACACACCAGACAUCAUAGUUGUGGAAAAGAAAAAGGUUUGGAUCAUUGAUGUUGCCAUCCCAGGUGACAGUCGCAUUGAUGAAAAACAACAGGAAAAACUCAGCCGCUAUCAGGACCUCAAGAUUGAACUUCAAAGACUCUGGCAGAAACCAGUGCAGGUGGUCCCGGUGGUGAUUGGCACAUUGGGUGCCGUGCCAAAAGAUCUCAGCUGGCAUUUGGAAACAAUUGACAUUGACAAAAUUACGAUCUACCAACUGCAAAAGGCCACCACACUGGGAUCUGCACGCAUCAUCCAAAAAUACAUCACAGAGUCCUAGACACUUGGGAAGUGUUCGACUUGUGAUUUUGUGAAACGAAAUCCAGCAUAUCUAUCUUGUUUGCUGUGUCAUAUUAAAAUAAUAAUAAUAAUGUGGGUGAUGUGGGGCAUGGAGCGGUGGGUUCGCCACAUCCUCUGCCGGGACCCCCAUGGAUUCGCCACAAUGCGUGACAAAUCCUUACUCUAAUACGAUAAGGUCCUUACAGAAUACAUGAAACAUGGGAAGUUCUUCUAGACUCUGAAUCCCUGCUGGGUAUUGUGGAAAGCACACUGCAAGUCCUUAAGGAGGUUCUAUACUGUUGCUACCAGGACUUGUCCAUCAAGAAGCCUGAUGAAUUACAGUUGGCUCUCUACAUUUGUGGGUUUAACGUUUUUAGAUUUUAUUAUUUGCAGGUAUGAUUUAUACGGUUUCUCUAGAAAUCUCUAGGUCCUCCAGAAACAAUGGUCAACUGCCAGCAGAAGAACCUAGAUAUUCAUAGAGAGGUGUUUUCUCAUGCAAAAAUUGUGUCCUUUUAUUUGCAUUUCCCCCACUUUUGUGGAGGGUCCCAACUCUGAUGAAAACGGAGGGCUUAUUGUAUAAUGUUGGUGUUCCAUUCCUUUCUUUGCUUUGCUCCAAAUGACACAAUGUAUGGAGAGCAGGCACUCACCAUCUCAGUCCACCCCCUGACCUUUUGGUGGAAUGGACGUAAAAUCCUUUCCUUUUGAGUUCUGGGCAUGGAUGGUUUAUAAAUGACCUCCAAUAUAUAAAGCAAACUUCAUCUGCCUCUCGAGCUGCUCACUCUGAAAUUUAUCUUCUUGCCUAGCAGCUUCAGAAAGACAGGCAUUCCCUGAUGCUUCAUCUACUCUGGACCUGAGACCGGGCAACCAAAGAUGUGUUGAAUCUCUUGUACAAAUUAUCUCAUUUGCACAUGGUCACUUAUCUCAUAUGCCCUAUACCUACAGCAGUCUGCUAAAAUCUAGAGAUCCUUUAAGAAGGGCUUUCUCUGAGUCCUAUCUCAAUCACACUCCAAUCUGAUGAUGGCGCAGGACAGAGCCUUCUUGGUGCUUCCUCCUAAGCUGUGGAAUUCCUUUCUACGAGAGGCAAGGCUGACCCAGUGUCUGAUCUCUUUCUACUGGCAGGCAAAGAGUUUUAUAUUCAAACAGUCAUUUGAUGAGUUUCAGGAAUUUGAUAGUUUGUAUGAAGUCAUUUUUAUGGGGAAGAGUGUGAGAUAUAUAUAUAUAUAUAUAUAUAUAUAUAUAUAUAUAUAUUCUGGAAUAUGGCUUUGGAUUGCAUGGUUUUAACUAACUUGUCUUAUGAUUGAUUUUUUGUGUGCCAGGAGUGACUUGAGAAACUGCAAGUCACUUCUGGUGUGAGAGAAUUGGCUGCCUGCAAGGACGUUGCCCAGGGGAUGCCUGGAUGUUUGAUGUUUUAUCAUCCUUGUGGGAGGCUUCUCUCAUGUCCCUGCAUGGAGCUGGAGCUGACAGAGGGAGCUCAUCUGCACUCUCCCCAGGUUGGAUUCGAACUGACAACCUUCAGGUCAGCAAGCCAAUCUUCAAGUCAACAGUCUGCCAGCACAAGGGUUUAACCCAGCGCCACCGAGGGCUCUUAAUAAUUGAUAUGUUUUAAUUAUUGGUUUUAAUUUAUAUGAUGGUUUUACUUAUGUAUGUAUAUGUGGCAUUGAAUUGUGCCUUUUUUUGUGAGCUGCCCUGACUCCCCUUUGAUGUGAGAAGGGUGUGAUAUAAAUGCAGUGAAUAAAUUAUAUAUAUAUAUAUAUAUAUAUAUAUAUAUAUAUAUAUAUAUAAACACUUGAUUAUUGGAUUUUUUUAUAAUAACAAUUUAAUAAUACAUUUCAUUGUGCUUUAACUCUUUGUUAUAUAUUUUAGCCUUUUUCCUUCUUAUAGGCUUUUUGUACAUUUCCUUGAGUUCCAUGCCGAGCAAAAGACAGGAUAUUAAAUGCAUUUCAUACCGAUACUUUCCACAUACCCUUUGAUUGCAUUGCCAACUCCUCUGCUGAACUCCUUCCGACAUACAAUAAACAGAUUUUUUUGCAUUGUGAGGUGAUGCCAUUUUCCCUUAAGCUCCUGUGUUAUCAGACUGUUUCUAAGAACUGCAAUUAGGUGUGAAGGGCUGGUGUUGCCAGGUUUUUGAAGCAGCAAUAAGGGACAGUUGAAAUUCGUGACAUGCAGGGUUGACAAUCAGGAAACAGCUAUUACCAAGUUUGCAUCUACCUAAAUACCAAAUGAAAGUAUUGAUUUCAGUUAACCUAGUAGCCAAGCCAUGUAUUUCUCUGCAAAAUUAGCAUAUGGCCCACAGUCCCAAAUUAGUCUUGAUAAAAUGCUCACAUUCCCAGACACAUGCUUUUUUGUGGCAUCUUGUACAGUAUAUAUGAAAUCAAAAAAAGAAAAUUGGGGACAUGACUUAAAAUGAGGGAUAUUUGCCCGGCCCUGUAAGAUAGAAGAUUUCCACCCCUCAAAUAAGGAGCAUCUCUUAUAAUAAGGGAUACCUUAUUCUAGCUACUGCCUGUAAGCAAGGUUGCAAGGUAUCCCUUAUUAUAAGAGAUGCUUUGCAACCUUGCUUACAGGCAAUAGCUAGAAUUACUUCAAAACACUACAUAAAUACGUAUUUUUCUUUUUGUUAAAUUCAUCCAAAGGAGAAACAAACAAAAAGGUUGACCUGCUUGUUUUUCUCCAGAUCUCCAUGUUCUGUACUUUCUUUUAAUACCUCAUUUGUUGUUGUUUUUUUCUGUGAACCUAGAUACUCUGAAAGGUAAAUGUGUCCAAAGACAUUGAUUCCACACAUAGUAGAGUUUUUCACUUUUUCUCAACAAUUGUUCAUGAAGUAUAAAUAAAUCAUAAAUGUAUGAAUGAUUGGUAACCUUAGCCCAGGUUGAAACACCUAUGAUUCAGGAUCUCAAGGAAGGAUACAUAUUUAUUUUCACUGGCCAUAACCUACAGGGGAUCUGGGAGACAUAUGUUAGUUAUUGUUCUGAUAGAAGUCUAGUGCUUCUGUAAGGUUACCUUAACAUGAUUUUACACUGUAUUUUUGUAACCAACAGUCUUAGCUAAUCUGCUCUAAACAUGAUUAUUCCAGCACUAUGAUGUUUUUAAGAGCCCUUCUGUUUUCAUAUCUUUUUAUCCAUCUCCUUCUGUUCUAAGAAUUGAGAAGAAAGAAUAGAUUAGGGAAACAAUUUUAGCUCCAUUCUGACUUCACAUUCCAUGGAUCUGGAAAAUGUAGUUUCAUCAAGGACUGCAUAUAUUUCAAGUAGCUCUAGAAAAUCCACAUUGCUAUGUGCAGUUGCAUUAGAUAUCAGAGUGAGUGGAGAGAGACCUUCUGCUAAAACUGUGUCUCUCGGGAAAUGUUAGGGACUGGCAAACUUUUUUCUACUGUACCUGUAACUAGUACAAUAUUUACAUUCAAUAACUACAACUACAAUGGCCCCCGGUGGCACAGCGCGGUAAACCACUGAGCUGCUGAACUUGCUGACCGAAAGGUUGGCGGUUUGAAUCCAGAGAGCAGGAUGACCCCUAUCGUAAGCUCCAGCUUUUGCUAACCUAGCAGUUUGAAAGCAUGCAAAUGUGAGUAGAUCAAUAGGUACUGCUUGGACAGGAAGAUAACGGUGCUCCAUGCAGUCAUGCUGGCUACAUGACCUUGGAGGCGUCUACAGACAAUGCCAGCUCUUCAGCUUAGAAAUGGAGAUGAAACUAUCCCCCAAAGUUGAACAUGACUAGACUUAAUUUCAAGGGGAAAUCUUUACUUUAACUAUAACUAUGUCUUUUUUUUCUCCUGGAAACUUUCUGCAGAUUGACAGCCAAUGUCUUGCAGAUUAAGGCCCCAUGUACACUGCCAUAUAAUCCAGUUUGUGAAUCCAGAUUAUCCACUUUGAACUGGAUCAUAUGGAAAUGUAGAUUCAUUUAAUCCAGUUCAAAGCAGACAAUCUAGAUUCAGAAACUGGGUUGUAUGGCAGUGUAGAUCCAGCCUGAGACUGUUCUGGGACCUCCACUUUGAGUAGCACUAGAUAUAGGAAGCAUAUAACUGGCUUGCUGAAACAGCUUUGCUGGCUACCAGCCUACUUUUGGGCAGAAUUCAAAAUAUUUUUUAUGGCCUACAUAGCUUAGGUCUAACCUAGCUGGAAGACACAUAUCCUUCUAUAAAAGCCUAGCCUAAUUUUAAGAUUACUAAAAGUCAACUUGGAUUUCUCAAAAUCAAGUCAUGCCAGACUAAUCUUAUCUCUUUUUUCAAUAGAGUUACAAACUUGGUAAAUGCAGGGAAUGCUGUGGAUGUAGCAUAUCUUGAUUUCAGUGAAGCCUUUGACAAGGUCUCCCAUGACCUUUCACAAACCAACUAGUCAAAUGUGGGCUAGGCAAUGCUACUAUUCAGUGGAUCUGUAAUUGCUUAAGCAGCCAACCCCAAAUGUCCCCACCAGUGGUUCCACUUCAUUCUGGACUAGUGGAGUGCCACAGAGUUCAGUCCUGGGUCCAGUUGUGUUCAACAUCUUUAUUAAUGACUUAGAUGAAGGUUUAGAGAACAUGAAUAUUAAGUGUGCAGAUGACAAUUGCAAAGGACAGGAUUGGUAUUCAAAAUGACCUUAACAGAGUAGAGAGCUGGGCCAAAACUAACAAAAUGAAUUUCAACAAGGACAAAUGUAAGAUACUACACUUUGUCCAAAAAACAAACAAACCCACAACAAAAUGCAAAGAUACAAAAUAGAUGACGCCUGACUUGACAACAGUCCAUGUGGAAAAGAUAAAUAAUAAUAAUAAUAAAACUUUAUUUAUACCCCGCCACCAUCUCCCCAACGGGGACUCGGGGCGGCUUACAUGGGGCCAUGCCCAAGACAAUACAAUAAACCAUAACAUAAUACAAUUAAAUAAUACAUUACAUAAAAUAAACAGUACAACAUAAGAUCAAAACAGCAAUAUAACACGAGCGGGCCGCAUGAAUACUACAUUUAAAAACUAGAUUAAAAAUUAAAACUCUGGGUGAGAAAGGGAUCAGAAUAAAACCUCGAGGGACGGGACAUCAGAUAGUGAACCAGUCUAGAGGAUAAAUAUCGGGGGGGAGUAGCAUAGAACAUUUACUCUCCGAAAGCACACCGGAAGAGCCAUGUUUUUAAAUCUUUCCUGAAGGCUAAAAGGGUGGGGGCUUGCCUGAUUUCAAUGGGCAGCGAGUUCCACAAGCGAGGGGCCACCGCAGAGAAGGCCCUCUCCCUUGUUCCUACAAGGCGAGCCUGAGAUAUAGGUAGUUGCGACAGGAGGGCCUCCCCCGAUGAUCGGAGAGGUCGGGCAGGUUUAUGAUAGGAGAUACGGUCACGAAGGUAGGCGGGUCCCAAACCGUUUAGGGCUUUAUAAAUGAUGGUCUGCACCUUGAAUUGGGACCGGAAGAUGAACAGUACCCUGCCCUUUUCACUCCGAAGGGGACUCAGAGCGGCCUUACAACGGCAACAAUUUGAUGCCACAUCAACAACAAAUAUAAAAUACACAUAUGCAUUAAAACAUAUAUUUAAGAGCCAUAUACAAAUUAAAACACGUUAUUAGAAUCACGCAAUCCGAUAUCAUAGUAAAAAAACGGUCAUUCCAGUUAAUAUUGCAGAUUUUCCAUCUUCAGUUAUUUCACUGUGCUAUUGGCCGAAGGCUUGGUCCCAGAGCCAUGUUUUUGCUUGCUUUCUGAAGGUCAGGAGAGAGGGUGCUGACCUGAUUUCACUGGGGAGGGAGUUCCAUGGCCAAGGGGACACCACUGAGAAGGCCCUGCCUGUCGUCCCCACCAACCGCACUUGCAAAGGAGGUGGGACCAAGAGCAGGGCCUCCCCCAAUGAUCUUAACCUCUGAGUUAGUUCAUUGAGGGAGAUGACUUCUCAGUGCUUCAUCACCAUCACAGAUACAUUGGGAAGGACUCAGGAGAAAGCCUUCUUGAUGGUUGCUCCCAAGCUAUGAAACUCUUCUAAGACAGGUUCAGUUGGCCCCCUCUCUGUUCUCUUUUUGUGGGCAGCUAAAUAUCUAAUUUAAACAGGUCUUCAAUUUUUAACUGGUUGGAGUAGUGCAAUGGUGGAUCAAUGUACAAUAGAUUUUCAUUAAUUUUAACUGUUUUUUAAGUGGAUUGUAGUUGAAUGCUUUUUUUUAAUUGUAUUUAUAUUAUUGAUCUAUUUAAAACAUACAAUGCAAGACAGUGAGUCUCAUAUGGGAAAAAAGCAAUUAAUAUCAACCCGUAUUGGAAUGAAGGAACUUUGCCUCAAGUCUGUCAUACUGGAGGACUUAGAAAAUGCCUAGAGAGGAUAUGUUUUGUCAGUUGUGGAUAAAUGAAACCAUGGAUAUUGUUUCUGGGGAUACUGAGGUAAUCACACACACACACACACAUACAAGCAUACAGCAUUGUGCUAUACCACUGCUUCUGACACUAUUCAGGUAAAUGGAUGGAAAUCUAUCUAUAUAUAUAUAAAAGAGUGAUGGAAUCACCGUAGCGGACAAAACAACAAAACUAAACACCCCACAACCUCGAAAACUGAUAGAACAACCCCUCAUCCACGCCUCUAGGUUGAUACAACAAAAACUACCACCAGUUCCUCAAUACUUCAUUUCCCAUACCACCAUACUUCGCCACAGCAAUGCGUGGCCAGGCACAGCUAGUGGUUUAUAUAGGUUUGAUGAAGCAGCACAACAGGAUAUGAAUACAUUUAUAUUUGUCUGGAAUAAAAAUAAUCCUUUCCUGAUUUGUGAGAAAAGGUGGAAGCUCCCCACAAUCCAAACCAAGGCAAUUUUAACACCAAAAACCUUGCCUAUCAGUGUGAUAUACUUGUGUAAGAAUAUAUCAAUAUUCUCCUUACUCAUGUAGAAAUGUUGGACAAAACAAAAUCAGACUAAAGACAGGGUUGUAUGAAUUAGUCCUGCAAUUUCCAUGUCAAUGAUAGAUUUUUUGGCUUGAGUAAUCUUUGUCUGGAGUAAUCAAUAUAUCUAAAUCAGAGGUUGUGUUUCAGAGUUUUGCCAUUCAAAGUGUAGCUCCAGCAUUCUGCAAGCCAUAUAUCUUCCCUGUCAAACAUCUAAUGUAUUGUGGUGUUCAUUUAGAACCUGAGUCUAGAGGCCUCUUGGCUGAUAGAAGAGAAUGGAUGGCUUUUUUAUUGAGUCCUGCAUAGCUGGCAGGCAACAGCAAAAAAGGAAGGGGGAAAUGGGCAGUAUUUGUAUCUAAAUGUCUAGUAAAUGUUCAGCCAACCACAAGGCAUUUGGACUCAUUUGAAUAACCACUGCGUGUUGAAACCUAUUAUUUGAUUCAGUUGAUAUUUUGGGCCAUUUGUCUCAUUCAUACCAGAAGGGCUGUGAGCAAAAGAAAAUUAAGAAGGAUUUAGAUUGGUACAGUGUAUGCUACCUUGCAGAAAAGUAGUCUGUUCCAAAACACCAGCAGAUGAUGUCUUUCUACCUGAGAAUUUCAUGAAACUAUCAUAGUUAUGCCAUUACUGCAUCUCACUUUUCAAUUAGCCAGUGCACAUUGCCAGGCUGGAAUCCUGCAGGCAAUGGUACAGGGGAAAGGGAACCAGGCUUGCUGCUUUCUGAAGCACUUAAGCUAGAAUGUGACAUUUGUAGGACUACCUGAUUGAUAAAGGAGUGAGGUUUGUCCAAAUCUACGAAUUCAUCCAUCUGCUUAAAAAGCAAUAUAUGGAAUGGAUGGUGACUGGGUCUUUAACCUACUGUUUCCAUCAUCCCUCACUGUUGGCUAUUCUUGAUAGUGCCAAGGGAUAUAGUCCUGGCUAGCACUGAAUCCAGAAUUCGAGAAAUGUUUGGCUGGCCUUGGUAAUCAACCAUUACACAGCCCAACCAAAAAAAAACUUGGUGUCUUGGUUUUUGGGCCUGUUCCUGGUGUUAUUUGGGGUGCUGAGCCAGAAAAUUGCAUUGAAUAGACUGCAUUAGCUCUAGAUUCUUUGAUAUGGUUAUCAUGCUUUUCUAUAAGCAAGCAGAUGAAGACUGGUAUAUGGCAUAUGUUCUGUAUCUCAAAACCUAGAGCUGAUAGAGGAAAAGUGGUGCUAUUUUUGGAAUCAGCAGGCCAAAUAUAUGCAGGAACAGGCCUAACAUUUGAGGCACCAAAAUGUGUAUUGGGCAGUGUUAGGGUUACUAUAACCCCUUUCAACACAAGCCCUCUCUCCCCACAACUUUCGGCAUACCAGAAACCUAGAGUUCGGACAAAUCAAUAUCUCAUUUCUACAGAACUCUGGUGACACCUGAGAAUAAUCGAGCAUUCCCAAGGCCUGGUGUGAGCUGAGAAAUUCACAGUACCUGGUACUUGUUGACUGUAUGCCACUCUAGUACUAACCAGAACUUACCCUACUCAGUUUCCAAGAAAGAAAGAAUCUCGUACCUUCUGCUAGAGCGUGCCAAAUGAAAACUACAUGGUUACCUAUCAGGUUCACUUAAGUAGUGGAUUUUCUGCAUUGGGAAGAAAUUGGAGUUAGCUUUUCAUGUCUCUUCUGAUUCUGUAAUACAUUUUGACUGCAUCAUGCUGGCUUGGCUUUUUCACAGAUCUUAUCAAAUGAAGAAAGAUUUUUUUUGCAAUGUCCCGAUGAAUCUGUUUUAUAACAGCAUCCUUCAUCUACUCCAAGUCACGUCUGGAUUCUAUAAUCAUUGAAUGAAUUAUAAACAUAAGAAAUGUUUUACUUCAACAAUUUCUCAAAAUUUUGAAAAGGAGAUUUCAACCAAUGUGGGGAUAAGAUUAGCUACAGUGGAUGGAAAUUUCCUCUUCUACACUUCUACAAACCGCCCAAUCCUGUGUGGUACAUGGAUACCAAAUGUUGCUAUGCUUUCAACCUGCCAACUGCUGUAGUUGUACAUUACUUAAUAGCCACCCACCACAUAGAUGUUAUCAGGCAAUUGUAUUAAUUGGUAGGCUAUAAUAGCCCCAUUCUUGAGGCGUUGCCAAUGCUAUAUUGCACUUUGUCCAUUUUAACUGUGAAAUUACCUUCCCCAUUUCGGCCCAUUUCGGCACAUGUUGCACGUUGCCUGGGUUCUAUGAAUUAGUCUCCAGUGUUAAUAUUGUAUGUUUUAUGUUGAUUUUAACGAUUGUUUUUACUGUAAUUGAUGUUUUUAUUGGAUAACUGUUUUAUUGCUGUGUUUUGAUAUUUGAUUGUUUUAUCGGGCAAGGCCCCAUGUAAGCCGCCCCGAGUCCCUUCGGGGAGAUGGGGCGGGGUAUAAAAAUAAAGUUAUUAUUAUUAUUAUUAU
Molecule: long non-coding RNA, 18509 nt
Organism: Anolis carolinensis (green anole)
Lineage: Eukaryota; Metazoa; Chordata; Lepidosauria; Squamata; Anolidae
Exons: 2
Source: RefSeq, a predicted model, not a curated record